ACCUACGAGAUGGGGAUAACUAUUAGAAAUAGUAGCUAAUACCGAAUAAAGUCAAUUAAUUUGUUAAUUGAUGAAAGGAAGCCUUUAAAGCUUCGCUUGUAGAUGAGUCUGCGUCUUAUUAGCUAGUUGGUAGGGUAAAUGCCUACCAAGGCGAUGAUAAGUAACCGGCCUGAGAGGGUGAACGGUCACACUGGAACUGAGAUACGGUCCAGACUCCUACGGGAGGCAGCAGCUAAGAAUCUUCCGCAAUGGGCGAAAGCCUGACGGAGCGACACUGCGUGAAUGAAGAAGGUCGAAAGAUUGUAAAAUUCUUUUAUAAA
This 320-nucleotide ribosomal RNA is filed under the name uncultured Borrelia sp. Its description in RNAcentral is "bacterial SSU rRNA". It matches the Rfam family "Bacterial small subunit ribosomal RNA", at positions 128 to 442 of the family's 1533-position model. The record is from RNAcentral. Lineage: Bacteria; Pseudomonadati; Spirochaetota; Spirochaetia; Spirochaetales; Borreliaceae.